GCCCAUUUAGUAUAAUGGUAUUACAAAUCCAUGGUAAGGAUUAAAAGUAAGUUCGAUUCUUACAUUGGGCA
RNAcentral lists this transfer RNA (71 nucleotides) under Mycoplasma sp. CAG:956. It matches the Rfam family "tRNA". Rfam says of the family: Transfer RNA (tRNA) molecules are approximately 80 nucleotides in length. The record is from Rfam by way of RNAcentral. Lineage: Bacteria; Bacillati; Mycoplasmatota; Mollicutes; Mycoplasmatales; Mycoplasmataceae.